This is a long non-coding RNA of Gadus chalcogrammus (walleye pollock), 1146 nucleotides long. RefSeq lists it as uncharacterized. The transcript is spliced from 7 exons. NCBI's taxonomy places the organism in Eukaryota, Metazoa, Chordata, Actinopteri, Gadiformes, Gadidae. The record is from RefSeq and is a predicted model, not a curated record.
AUAAAAAGAAGAAGAUGAAGAAUAAAUUAAUUAAAAAUGAAUUAAAAUCCGAGUCGGUGUGCAGGCGGAAGGCGGGUCACUCCAGGCUGCUGCAGUCGUCGUCACUGUCGCUGCUAGUUGUAUCAUGAUCCAGGAUGACCGGGGAAGGACUCGGAGGAGGAAGACUGAACUGCUGGGGACCUGGAAUGUAGAAGAUCAUCGUUAAGCGUACAAUUUGGUGACAUGGGUAAAGCUCCAACUGUAAAAGGUUCAGCACAUCCCUCUUGCCCCUCAAACGCUUCAAGAGAAAGCUAUGAGGCAAAAGCCAGCUUCUUCCCUCCUCUGCCAAGCCAGUUGAAUUUCAGCGCAAAGUGGUUGGAGAGGAUGUGGCGAAGGAUUCUUCGAACCGCGUCACCAGGAUUGCAGCCCCCAAGCGCACUAAGGUGUGCUGCCUGCAGUAAGGGCCUGGAGGAGGAGGUUGUUCUGCCUCACCAAGGCCUUCAACUCCUCCACAGCACGCAGGAGUGCAUGAUCCCGUUCUACAGGACAGAAAAACAUCAUGACUGUCAUGUCAAGAGGUGCUCCUGGUUUGGGCUUUUUUCAGGUUCAUACGCGCUGCAUCAUAAUUGGCUGUUGAAGACAACAAUGAAGUCUCAUCUGGCAUAGCGCUUUGGAUGACUGCAAUUUUCGUCCGCUUGGUGUCUUUAUACGGUGGCCAAAAAGACACCUUGCCGUCCAAACUUAGCCACGAGCAAGGCACAACCUCCACCUCGUUUGACUCGGUUCCCAACCACAGCUGUCCCCAGUGCAGUUGAAUCAACAGGGUGGUUGAAAAAUGGACGUUGGUCUAAAUAUUGCCUCGCCACAAAAGACGUACCACCAAGUGUCCUGCUAAUUGCCUCUAUUUUAAAAGUGGCACCACCACACGAAACUGUGUUGUUCCCAUCCUUUGUGGACAGGGUAAAUCUAUCAGUGGCGUACUGUGUUGUUGAGGGUGAACUUUGGUUAUGGGAAGAUGGACAGACUGGGUUGAUGCUUGAUUUUUCCGUUAAUCGUUUAACAAUUUGUUGUAAUGUCUGGUUUGGCUUUCUAAUUAGUUUCUUUAAUUUAUACAAGAAAUUUUCGAAGGGAAAGGCUGAAAUUUGGGGUAGUGGGCCAUAUUUUCUA